CUUGAAGCUGAAAAGAGGAGGAGGAAGGGCAGAUUAAAAAUAAAACAUGCACUGUUCCUUGUGGUGGCAGCAACUUAGGGCAGGUGGGCCCUUCGAACUUGGGAUGCUCUGCAUGGUCCAGCAGCCACAUUGGGUGGAGCUGUGUGCAGCCAUGGGAACGCACAGAACACCUCAUCUCCUGCUGCCACUGCUUCAGGUUGCUGGCCACAUUUAUGAGGGGGAGUUUCUCAGCUCUGUUCUUCCAUUCAGCCACCCCUCCUCUGUCUGCCCCACAUGUGAUGCAGCCCAGCUCCAGCUGAAUGGCUGGAGGGGAUGGUGAUGCCACUUGUUACUGUGAAGUGACGUCAGCUCAGCUGGAAGGAAAAUCUGCAGUAAGAACAAACAUGGUGGUAUCAAGAAAGCCGGAACAAAUCACUGCACCCAAGUGGCAUCCUCUAGUAGAGUAGGAGAUGUAGUCUUGUUCUUACAUUGCUGUUCAGGUGUAUGUACAAUUCCUAGGAAAUCCAGCGUCUUCAUUUCUCGUGACUUUGUGGUGCCAAUGACCAUAGACAUCAAAUUCUGCUUUUCUCCACGAUGAACGUGAUGAUUCAAAGCAAACCUCCUAACUUCUGUGGUCUGCUUGAGCAAUUAGGUCUGAGUUACAGAAAUAAAA
This 652-nucleotide long non-coding RNA is filed under the name Numida meleagris (helmeted guineafowl). RNAcentral's name for it is "lncRNA (ENSNMEG00000014720.1)". Lineage: Eukaryota; Metazoa; Chordata; Aves; Galliformes; Numididae. The record is from RNAcentral.